Molecule: long non-coding RNA, 1281 nt
Filed under: Homo sapiens (human)
Lineage: Eukaryota; Metazoa; Chordata; Mammalia; Primates; Hominidae
Description: non-protein coding lnc-HNRNPA2B1-16:17
Source: RNAcentral
CGAUUCCUCUGCCCUGGAUAGAGAGCGGUGUCUCAUAACAGUUUGGAAACUACAAAAGUUUCCCUGGCAGGAUGAAUGAUUGACUCGGCAACAUGUUCUUGCCUUUUGGAGUUGCCCUCCAAUUUUUCCAGGCUUGAUUCUGUAAAUCAUUUCAUCUUGUAAAAAUACUGGGCUGUGAGCACGGAUGAUCUCAAAGAUGAGGAAACAGAAGCUGGGAUAUGUGAGUAAACAUUUCCAAGGUCCUGCAGCUAAUCAAUGGUUGACAACUUCUUUCCUCUGCCUAUGUUGCCAUCCAUGUCAUGGUUUGUGUCAAGACUCUAGGAGAAGUCUACCAUCAGCACCACAGCUACUGUGCACAAAUCCAGAAUGCCAGACUGAAGUCAGAAGGAAAGGUAAAAGUCCAAUUCUCAGAUGGCAAUUCAGACUUAGAAAACAGAAUGAGAAAAAGCAGUGGUGUCCAUCUCUCCUCAACGAUGAAUUCAUGUCUUAAAAUGUAUCUGCAUCUAUUUCUUUCUGUCUACCAUCCAUCCAUCCAUCUUUCCUUCUUUCUUCUUUCUCUUUCUCUUUCUCUCCCUCCUUCCUUCUCUUCCUUCGUUUUCAUAAGUAAAACUAGUACUAAUGCAGAAGUCUGAAAUUAGACUUUAAAAACGAGUACUACUCUUUUUUUCCCCCUUUUUGAGAGAGCUGGUGAUUUUCUUCCUUGCUUGGCAUUAACUGUCUUACUGUCUUAUGAUACUUAUCUUUAAUGUGGCAUAUCAGAGAACCUCUUUGAAAAUGUUACGGCUUAAUGCGGCUCAGGGAAAUAAAAGCCCACUUUAAAAAAGCCAAAAUAAAGCUUUCUGAUACGGACUUCACAAUUAAUUUUUGAGAAGGUCCACUUUCAUAUGCAAGCAAAUCUGUUUAGAAAUGUUUUAAAUUUUAAAGCAUGCAUACACAUAUAAAACUAAUUUAUGUGUUUUUAAAUGCUGUUUAAAAUUUUAAAGCAUAUAUAGAGAGCAAGAGAGCAAGAGAGGGUGCUCAAUAUGCAUCAUAAUAGCAUGAGAACUGAAAAAUAAAAGUUUACUUGCAAACUUAACCGGCUUUGCAAUGCAACAGACUAAACAAGUCACAUUUUAUACAAUGUAUAUGUUUAUAAUAUGAGUGCAGCAUGCCAAUGUGCUAUUUAGAUCAUUGUCCUGGUUGAAUGAACAAGCUCACAGGUUCACCAUUUAAUAUUUGUUCUCUUAAAAACAUGAAACUCGUUUUGAAAAUACCGGCUUAAAUGGGCAUUAUUAAGUCUUU